AUCUUUCACAAUGGGCGCAAGCCUGAUGCAGCGACGCCGCGUGAGGGAAGAAGGCCUUCGGGUUGUAAAGCACUUUUGGCAGGGAAGAAAAGGCUCUGGCUAAUACCUGGAGCUGCUGACGUUACCAACAGAAUAAGCACCGGCUAACUGCGUGCCAGCAGCCGCGGUAAUACGCAGGGUGCAAGCGUUAAUCGGAAUUACUGGGCGUAAAGCGCGCGUAGGUGGUUCGUUAAGUUGGAAGUGAAAGCCCCGGGCUUAACCUGGGAAUUGCUUUCAAAACUGACGAGCUAGAGUACGGUAGAGGGUAGUGGAAUUUCCUGUGUAGCGGUGAAAUGCGUAGAUAUAGGAAGGAACAUCAGUGGCGAAGGCGACUACCUGGACUGAUACUGACACUGAGGUGCGAAAGCGUGGGGAGCAAAC
This 420-nucleotide ribosomal RNA is filed under the name uncultured bacterium. RNAcentral's name for it is "partial 16S ribosomal RNA". It matches the Rfam family "Bacterial small subunit ribosomal RNA", at positions 361 to 773 of the family's 1533-position model. The record is from RNAcentral.